This 1690-nucleotide ribosomal RNA is filed under the name Megalops atlanticus (tarpon). RNAcentral's name for it is "16S rRNA". The stretch from base 92 to 1608 matches the Rfam family "Bacterial large subunit ribosomal RNA". The record is from RNAcentral. Lineage: Eukaryota; Metazoa; Chordata; Actinopteri; Elopiformes; Megalopidae.
GCUAAAUAGCUAGCCUAACAACCCAAACAAGCACACAACCAUACAUACCAACACACCCCAAACUCACCCACUAAACCAUUUUCCCCUUCUAGUAUAGGAGACAGAAAAAAGCACGAACUAGAGCAAUAGAAAAAGUACCGCAAGGGAAAGCUGAAAAAGAAAUGAAAAAACCCGUAAAAGCGCAAAAAAGCAGAGACACAACCUCGUACCUUUUGCAUCAUGAUUUAGCUAGAACUCCCAGGCAAAGAGACCUAUAGUCUGACCCCCCGAAACUAAACGAGCUACUUCGAGACAGCCAGCCAAGGGCCAACCCGUCUCUGUGGCAAAAGAGUGGGAAGAUCUCCAAGUAGAGGCGACAAACCUAACGAGUUUAGUGAUAGCUGGUUGCUUAGGAAAUGAAUAUAAGUUCAGCCUCGAAGCCUGCCUAAACCAAACACCAACAACACCAAAGACCAAAACAACAGCUCCGAGAGUUAGUCAUGGGGGGUACAGCCCCCCUGAAAAAGAACACAACCUUGCACAGGAGGAUAAGGAUCACAAUAACAAAGACACCCAGUCGCAGUGGGCCUAAAAGCAGCCACCAACAUAGAAAGCGUCAAAGCUCAAACCAACAAACAAGUCCAUUAUCACGAUAAAACAUCCCACUCCCCUAAUAAUACUAAGCUAUUCUAUGCCAACAUAGAAGAAAUUAUGCUAAAACCAGUAAUAAGAAGACACGACCUUCUCCAGGCACAUGUGCACGUUAGAUCGAACCACUCACUAACAAACCAACGGACCCAAGCCAAGAGGGAAAUGCAGCAAACACUAAAACCAAGAAACAACUGCAACAUACACCGUUAACCCAACACAGGAGUGCCAACCACAAAGGAAAGACUAAAAGAGACGGAAGGAACUCGGCAAACAUGAGCCUCGCCUGUUUACCAAAAACAUCGCCUCUUGCAAACACACAAAGUAUAAGAGGUCCCGCCUGCCCCGUGACCAAAAGUUCAACGGCCGCGGUAUUCUGACCGUGCGAAGGUAGCGUAAUCACCUGUCUUUUAAAUGAAGACCUGUAUGAAAGGCACCACGAGGGCUCAACUGUCUCCCGCCUCCAGUCAAUGAAACUGAUCUGUCCGUGCAGAAGCGGACAUAACAACAUAAGACGAGAAGACCCUGUGGAGCUUAAGGCACAAGGCCAACCAUGCCAAACAUCCCUCCCAAAGGCAUAAGCACAACAACCACUGGCCACACAUGCCUUCGGUUGGGGCGACCGCGGAGAAAAAUCAAACCUCCAUGUGGACCAAGGAUACAAUCCUCAAAACCAAGAGACACAGCUCUAAGCAGCAGAAAAUCUGACCAAAAGACCCAGGCCAACACGCCUGAUCAACGAACCAAGUUACCCCAGGGAUAACAGCGCAAUCCUCUCCCAGAGUCCAUAUCGACGAAAGGGUUUACGACCUCGAUGUUGGAUCAGGACAUCCUAAUGGUGCAGCCGCUAUUAAGGGUUCGUUUGUUCAACGAUUAAAGUCCUACGUGAUCUGAGUUCAGACCGGAGCAAUCCAGGUCAGUUUCUAUCUAUGCAGCAACUUCCCCCAGUACGAAAGGACCGGGGAAUUGGGGCCCAUACCAAAAGCACGCCCUACCCCAACUCGAUGAAAACAACUAAAACGAAGAAAGGGGCACAACCACACCCAGCCGCAGAUAAUGGCAC